This is a non-coding RNA of Pogona vitticeps (central bearded dragon), 581 nucleotides long. The record is from RefSeq and is a predicted model, not a curated record. Lineage: Eukaryota; Metazoa; Chordata; Lepidosauria; Squamata; Agamidae.
ACCCUCUGGAAGGUCGCGGGACGGGAGCCCUUGUCCACGUUUGGACCACCCGCAGCUCGCCCGAGGUUGCCGAACUACAGCUCCCAUCAUGCCUCAUGAUCGGCUAGGACUGAUGGGUGUUGAAGUCGAGCAACAUCUGCCCCGCCGUAAAUUCUCCACAAACGGAUAUGAGUAGUAUUAUUAUAUCCUUGGCCUGAGACUGGGGCUGCAAAGCAACAGUUUAAAAUAUUGUCUUGAAAGGAUGCAAAAAACCCCAGAAAAAGACACAUUUGGGAAAAGAGGUUUUUCCUGCCCCUGUCUGCUGAAUGGCGUUGAAGUCCCCUGGCAAUAUAUGGCAAUAAGACACCAAAGCAAGGCACCUUUCAGAGGCCUGGAUCCUGCAACUGAAGGAUGUGAAAUUCUGCUGUCUCUGAGGUCAAACUGCACCUGUUUGAUUUCACCCUGAUGUGCUUGAAGAACACACUGAAGUUCUUUAAAAAAAAGGACCACUUAUGCCAAAAUCUUCAUAAGUCUUGCUCAGAAAUUAAAUUCAGAGAAUUGAAAAGCAGAUGAGUACAGUACAGUACUGUAUUCAGGCUGGA